UAUUUGGUUCCUUAAGAAGGAAGAAAAUGGGUAAUGGAAACUGUCAAUUAUGCUUGGCGUAUGCACAAGUGUAGGACAAAAAAGAAGCAUUUUUAUGCAUUUGAUACUGAUGAACAAAGAAUGAUAGAACGUCCAAAGACAAUGCCAAAAACUCAUUUUGAAGAUCUGUUGAAGUAUUGGCAUUUGACAACAACUGAGGAAGAAAGUCAGACCAACAAAAAGAAUCGUCAAAAGGCAGAAGACAUCCAUACUAUGGGUCCAAAAUCAUAUGCCAGAAACAAGAGGACCCUAACAAAAAAGAACCCUCUCAAGCAAAGGUGUACAAAGAAUCAAGGAAAAGGAAUCCCAAUAAGACAUACAAAACCAGCUUUGGGAAAACGAAGAAUAAUAUAGAACAAAUUGAAGCUUUGGAAUCUCAAGAACAUGAACAUGGCCCUAACACUAUUGAUCCAUACUAUCAAGUGAUUAAAAAACCAGAGCAUAAUGGUCGUGUACGCCUCUAUGGGAAAGGUGUGACCAUGACUGAUUUGAAGAAGAAAAAAGGAUCUAAUCCAAGAAAUGCAACUAACGACACAUUACAAGUGAAUGAGGCCGCUGGUGAUGAGCAUUCUUCUCCUAGAACAGAACCUUCUAAUCAGAUUAUUGAAGAAAAUUUGGAUUAGAGAAGGAUGCAUGAAUUAUAACAUUUUGGUGGUGGCAUAUCUUGUAUAAAUUGUCAUGUGUAGUGACAGUUUUUGUGGCCGUAAAUAUCAUUGUGAUCACAAAUCAAACAUCUGUUUUGGUAAAUGUUUUUGUGAUCUAACUAAUGUAAAUUGUGACUUGCUUUUA
This is an RNA transcript of Chenopodium quinoa (quinoa), 828 nucleotides long. RefSeq lists it as uncharacterized. The transcript has 5 exons. NCBI's taxonomy places the organism in Eukaryota, Viridiplantae, Streptophyta, Magnoliopsida, Caryophyllales, Amaranthaceae. The record is from RefSeq and is a predicted model, not a curated record.